RNAcentral lists this ribosomal RNA (497 nucleotides) under uncultured bacterium. RNAcentral describes it as "partial 16S ribosomal RNA". It matches the Rfam family "Bacterial small subunit ribosomal RNA", at positions 28 to 507 of the family's 1533-position model. The record is from RNAcentral.
GAUGAACGCUGGCGGCGUGCCUAAUACAUGCGAGUCGAGCGAACAGAUGAGGAGCUUGCUCCUCUGACGUUAGCGGCGGACGGGUGAGUAACACGUGGAUAACCUACCUAUAAGACUGGGAUAACUUCGGGAAACCGGAGCUAAUACCGGAUAAUAUAUUGAACCGCAUGGUUCAAUAGUGAAAGACGGUUUUGCUGUCACUUAUAGAUGGAUCCGCGCCGCAUUAGCUAGUUGGUAAGGUAACGGCUUACCAAGGCAACGAUGCGUAGCCGACCUGAGAGGGUGAACGGCCACACUGGAACUGAGACACGGUCCAGACUCCUACGGGAGGCAGCAGUAGGGAAUCUUCCGCAAUGGGCGAAAGCCUGACGGAGCAACGCCGCGUGAGUGAUGAAGGUCUUCGGAUCGUAAAACUCUGUUAUUAGGGAAGAACAAAUGUGUAAGUAACUAUGCACGUCUUGACGGUACCUAAUCAGAAAGCCACGGCUAACUACGUG